UCCGGUAGGGUACCUGCGGAGGGAUCAUUACACAAUACAAUAUGAAGGCUGUCCGCAGCUGGAGUAUUUUAUUACCCUUGUCUUUUGCGCACUUGUUGUUUCCUGGGCGGGUUCGCUCGCCACCAGGACCACCAAAUAAACCUUUUUUAUGCAGUUGCAAUCAGCGUCAGUACAAACAAUGUAAAUCAUUUACAACUUUCAACAACGGAUCUCUUGGUUCUGGCAUCGAUGAAGAACGCAGCGAAAUGCGAUACGUAGUGUGAAUUGCAGAAUUCAGUGAAUCAUCGAAUCUUUGAACGCACAUUGCGCCCUUUGGUAUUCCAAAGGGCAUGCCUGUUCGAGCGUCAUUUGUACCCUCAAGCUUUGCUUGGUGUUGGGCGUUUUUGUCUUUGGUCGCCCAAAGACUCGCCUUAAAGUGAUUGGCAGCCGGCCUUUCUGGUUUCGCAGCGCAGCACAUUUUUGCGCUUGCCAUCAGCAAGACGGCAAUCCAUCAAGCCUCCUUCUCACGUUUGACCUCGGAUCAGGUAGGGAUACCCGCUGAACUUAAGCAUAUCAAUAAGCCGGGAGGAAA
RNAcentral lists this ribosomal RNA (571 nucleotides) under Curvularia papendorfii. RNAcentral's name for it is "eukaryotic LSU rRNA". The stretch from base 194 to 347 matches the Rfam family "5.8S ribosomal RNA". Lineage: Eukaryota; Fungi; Ascomycota; Dothideomycetes; Pleosporales; Pleosporaceae. The record is from RNAcentral.